GGCACCGAAGGGUGUGUGUAAAAGCCUGUCUCCUGUUCCCUCUCAGGACCUUCUUCCUCGGCUGGUGGAAUCCAGGAUAAAGUGGGAUAAAUCCAGGAUAACGCAGAACGUGGCAGAAAGGCCGGCCCGAGGCCAGGACCAGAGCAAGACGGUGUGUAAGUCAGAGGAGAAGGAAUCCCGAAGCAAAGCAUACCUUCGCCGCUUACGUCCCACGUAUUCUGCUUCUCUGGCCAACAUGGACUUCUCCAGGAGAACCCCACACGCUGAGCAUGCCUCACCCCAGGCCACCACGGAUGUUUCCCAUGAAGCGGUUUAACAGACGCCCCGCCCGCCCGACUGGAAGAAUCCUGUAGAUUUCUUGCAGCAAAGGAGUGAGUUUCUGGUUGUUUGCAGGGAGGAGCGUCUCCCUUUUAGGGGCCAAUUCAGCUCCGGCCAUUAGCAUUUGAAUCGGUCUACCAGGCUGUUUUGAUUGAAGAGAGAAACACAGCCUUUGUUGCUGUGAUUUAGGGGCGUAAGUAAUUUUCCAACCCCCUUUAAUCAGUUCACACAGUUG
Molecule: long non-coding RNA, 553 nt
Filed under: Felis catus (domestic cat)
Lineage: Eukaryota; Metazoa; Chordata; Mammalia; Carnivora; Felidae
Description: lncRNA (ENSFCAG00000045056.2)
Source: RNAcentral